Molecule: long non-coding RNA, 768 nt
Filed under: Phoenix dactylifera (date palm)
Lineage: Eukaryota; Viridiplantae; Streptophyta; Magnoliopsida; Arecales; Arecaceae
Description: long non-coding RNA (PDAC_LNC006259)
Source: RNAcentral
UAAUGCAAAGCCCCUAGCUAGAUUGUUCUAUUGCUUAGAUAGAAGAUGAAACCAUAAAGAACUCUUUUAUCAAAACUCUAUAUGUCACUGAAUAAUUGAUAUUGAAACUUAUACACCUCUAAAUAUAACCACUGCUUACUCAUCAUGGCCUUGAAAGAAUUAUUUUCUCAAUAAAGUAACUAGUAAAAACACUAAGGAGGCAUCCGUCACCUCUGGACAAACCUCCGGUGUCCGCCACCGCCAACCCCACCAAGGCAGAGCAACGACAUCAUUAUGAGUGAUAAGAGCAAGGUGAUGCUCAAGGAGGCCGUGGUAGUGGGGAGGCUGGCGGUGGAGGUGGGCUUUAGCCCUAUCAAAGAUGAAAACGAAGAUAAGGGGGAGAAAGAUGAAAGAUAGGGGCUUCAUCCCUUUCUAGUCAUCAACGAAAGCUUAGCAGUGAAAAUGAAGAUGAAAGGGAGUGGGGAGAAAGAUCUUCAUAGUACCUCGGGUCCUCAAUGGAAUUGCAGUCGGCUGAUGAUAGGGGGCUCGUCCUCAAUGGAACAAGCUUCAGAGAAGACCGACAACUGGAGACCAAUGAUGAGGGACUGCCGGAUUAGAUUUUGGAGUGGCCGUGGAGGUGGAGACACAAGAAAUCGAGGAGGAGAAGUGGAGAACAAGGUACCCUAGCCCUAAGCUUCAAUUUGGGACUUAGGAAUGGCCGAGUGGGGGAGUCAGGACUUCGAUUUGGGAUUUAGGAGUCACCGAGUUGGGAGUUCGAAACUCUUUUGA